GAUGAACGCUGGCGGCGUGCCUAAUACAUGCAAGUCGAGCGAACAGACGAGGAGCUUGCUCCUCUGACGUUAGCGGCGGACGGGUGAGUAACACGUGGAUAACCUACCUAUAAGACUGGGAUAAUUUCGGGAAACCGGAGCUAAUACCGGAUAAUAUAUUGAACCGCAUGGUUCAAUAGUGAAAGACGGUUUUGCUGUCACUUAUAGAUUGCUACGCGCCGCAUUCGCUAGUUGGUAAGGUAACGGCUUACCAAGGCAACGAUGCGUAGCCGACCUGAGAGGGAGAUCGGCCACACUGGAACUGAGACACGGUCCAGACUCCUACGGGGGGCAGCAGUAGGGAAUCUUCCGCAAUGGGCGAAAGCCUGACGGAGCAACGCCGCGUGAGUGAUGAAGUUCUUCGGAUCGUAAAACUCUGUUAUUAGGGAAGAACAAAUGUGUAAGUAGCUAUGCACGUCUUGACGGUACCUAAUCAGAAAGCCACGGCUAACUACGUG
Molecule: ribosomal RNA, 497 nt
Filed under: uncultured bacterium
Lineage: Bacteria
Description: partial 16S ribosomal RNA
Rfam family: Bacterial small subunit ribosomal RNA
Source: RNAcentral